AGUGAACGCUGGCGGUAGGCCUAACACAUGCAAGUCGAACGGCAGCACAGUAAGAGCUUGCUCUUACGGGUGGCGAGUGGCGGACGGGUGAGGAAUACAUCGGAAUCUACUUUUUCGUGGGGGAUAACGUAGGGAAACUUACGCUAAUACCGCAUACGACCUACGGGUGAAAGCAGGGGAUCUUCGGACCUUGCGCGAUUGAAUGAGCCGAUGUCGGAUUAGCUAGUUGGCGGGGUAAAGGCCCACCAAGGCGACGAUCCGUAGCUGGUCUGAGAGGAGGAUGAGCGACACUGGAACUGAGAGACGGUCCAGACUCCUACGGGAGGCAGCAGUGGGGAAUAUUGGACAAUGGGCGGAAGACUGAUCCAGCCAUACCGCGUGGGUGAAGAAGGCCUUCGGGUUGUAAAGCCCUUUUGUUGGGAAAGAAAAGCAGCAGGUUAAUACCCCGCUGUUCUGACGGUACCCAAAGAAUAAGCACCGGCUAACUUCGUG
This 492-nucleotide ribosomal RNA is filed under the name uncultured bacterium. Its description in RNAcentral is "partial 16S ribosomal RNA". It matches the Rfam family "Bacterial small subunit ribosomal RNA", at positions 29 to 507 of the family's 1533-position model. The record is from RNAcentral.